This 74-nucleotide transfer RNA is filed under the name Pseudomonadota bacterium. RNAcentral's name for it is "tRNA-Ala". It matches the Rfam family "tRNA". From Rfam's summary of the family: Transfer RNA (tRNA) molecules are approximately 80 nucleotides in length. Their secondary structure includes four short double-helical elements and three loops (D, anti-codon, and T loops). Lineage: Bacteria; Pseudomonadati; Pseudomonadota. RNAcentral also lists the same sequence under 1 other name. The record is from RNAcentral.
GGGCCCAUAGCUCAGUUGGCUAGAGCACUACGCUGGCAGCGUAGGGGUCAGGGGUUCGAGUCCCCUUGGGUCCA